UGUGGUUCCGAAAACUUACUUGUCUCUC
RNAcentral lists this non-coding RNA (28 nucleotides) under Rattus norvegicus (Norway rat). The record is from RNAcentral. Lineage: Eukaryota; Metazoa; Chordata; Mammalia; Rodentia; Muridae.